This is a long non-coding RNA of Mus musculus (house mouse), 1051 nucleotides long. RefSeq annotates it as predicted gene, 42273. NCBI's taxonomy places the organism in Eukaryota, Metazoa, Chordata, Mammalia, Rodentia, Muridae. The record is from RefSeq and is a predicted model, not a curated record. The transcript is spliced from 2 exons.
UAAAGGUAUAUGCACACUCUGCCUGGCUUUAAUUCAGCUUUUUAAAAUAAGUUUGCACUAUAAAUGGGCUUUGAAGUUGUCAAUCUCCUGUCUCAGUCUCCCAGGUCAACCAUGCCUGGCUCUAGGCAGCUGGUCAAUUCUAAAUAAGCAGUUCAUUAACUAACUCUCUCUGGACGAAUUUGACCUUCUUUGAUCAAGUAAAGGAGUAAGGCGUUCUUCAGGCUUUGAAGGACCAGAGUCAUUUACUGCGAUUUUAUACUGGAUUUACAGUCCUGGGGAGAUGGUCGAUCUCUUUCAUCUGAACUCAGCCAGAAUAACCACGAGCAACGAGGAAGAGAGGCACUGAUUAGAGAUAACUUCAACACACAGCUUCAGGCCCUCGAGGCUCCCACCAGGCCAUUAGCCAAAUGCUGACCUGGAGCCUCAUAAUUCCUUCCGGUUGGAGUCUACACUGUAUAACCACAGUAAGGCGAGAGAGAGGCCAGCCACGAAAGGGACUACUGCUACCACCGCCUGGCCACAAGGUGAAGAUUUAACUAUUAGAGGAUUCAACCAUGAAGGUCUGGGUAUACAGUGCAUCCCUGUGACCCCAGCACUCUGUGCAGAAGCAAGAAGAUAGCAGCAAAUUCAAGGCCUGCCUAAUGACCUACCUACAAAGUCAUACUUAAACUGAGACACUGACGCUCAGUAGAAGCUGAGCAGAAGGAUAGAGACCUGCAGGCCAGCAUGUUCUGUCUAGCAAGUUUAAGGAUAGGGUUACAUAAGGGAACCCCCGUCUCAAUAAUAUAAAGUAAAAUAAAAUAAAAUGAAGGGAGAAGCUUCCCUGAAUACCUGUCAUUGCCAACAUCGGUCCCUAAAUGGCAUCCUGCACAGGUUGCUACGCCCAGUCUCAACUGACUGCACGGAGGGUCCACAGUUGUGUGUCCUAGAGUAACCAGUGACCUAUAGCUUUCCUUGCGUUAACAAGUUCAGCUGAGGUCUUUAAAAUGUUUCACGAAUUUGUAUUUGAGAAGAGACAACUUGAAAUAGCAAAAAUCUUAUUAAAUUUUUA